UACGGAGGAUCCAAGCGUUAUCCGGAAUCAUUGGGUUUAAAGGGUCCGUAGGCGGUUUAAUAAGUCAGUGGUGAAAUCUGGUCGCUCAACGAUCAAACGGCCAUUGAUACUGUUAGACUUGAAUUAUUAGGAAGUAACUAGAAUAUGUAGUGUAGCGGUGAAAUGCUUAGAUAUUACAUGGAAUACCAAUUGCGAAGGCAGGUUACUACUAAUGGAUUGACGCUGAUGGACGAAAGCUAGGGGAGCGAAAGGG
This 253-nucleotide ribosomal RNA is filed under the name uncultured bacterium. RNAcentral describes it as "partial 16S ribosomal RNA". It matches the Rfam family "Bacterial small subunit ribosomal RNA", at positions 524 to 776 of the family's 1533-position model. The record is from RNAcentral.